AUUUUUCAGCCCUCGCUCUCACUAAAAUCAGAAAUUGCUCUCUAAAAUGAAAAAGAGCUCUCCUUCUAUCACAUUUGUCUCUCAUUUCCUUACUCCUCUUCACCCUUAGCCGCGCAACCACACACACCUUCCUCUGCAAAAAUCCGAAAACAACCCUACCACAGAGGUAAACCUUGUCCAUUUUUGCGUCUCAUAUACUCCACACUGCAUGUGUAGACUGAUGUGGUAUCUUGUUUAUGUGCACAGGUUCUCGAUCUGGAAGUUUAGCCAUGACAAGGAAAACGCAAUGCAAACCAGCUACCAUGCAGAUCUGGUUCCUGCAAAAGAUCUGUGACAGACCCGAGAAAGAACUCUCAAACUGAAAAUCCACUGGACAUAAAGCAUGGCCCAUCAUGAAGGUUUGAUCUUUCGAUUAUGAAGGAAAUGUGGUCACUGAUAGAUCCGUGGGAAAUAAAAUGGACGGCGAAACCUCAGCUGCAAUAGACAAAAACGGGACAAGCUUCCAAGAACCCAGAUCGGUGAAUCUGGGAGGUAAAAUUUCAUAUCCUUGCAAGUGGAAUUGUUGUAGAUCUGGUAAUAAUAGCUGUACUCGGUUCUGUGGUGUAUGGAUCUGUGAUUUAAUUGUGCUUCCUCCAUGCAUCGCACAACUGAGCUGCAGAAAAUUAACUGCUCUAAACUCUGUUUAUGCGCUGGAUCUACAACAAUCACCCCCAAACUUGCAUCUGUGAA
Non-coding RNA from Malus domestica (apple), 729 nucleotides. Lineage: Eukaryota; Viridiplantae; Streptophyta; Magnoliopsida; Rosales; Rosaceae. The record is from RefSeq and is a predicted model, not a curated record.